UCUAAAUGGGAGCGCAGCGCACCCAAGCCCGAGGCUCUGGGGAGAUACGGAGCUCAGCCCCAGUCUCAGCCGCCCCGGGGCUCAUUAAUAUGCCUGGCACAUUUCUUCGCUGGCUCCCUAAUUAGCAAAUACCGAAGGAGGAUUAAAGCAGAGAGAUGCAAACACAAGGGAUAACUACCUGGGCGUGGUAAAUGUACUUUCCAUAUUUCACUUAUCUGUUGACGCAGGGGAUUACUUCGUGCAACAUGUCACAGCGGGGUUUGACUGCAGCGCUUGCUCCAGUGCCUUCAGAAGGGUCGAUAAACCGUAAGGCUCGAGCACACUACAUACAAAUAGCUGAAAGAGGAGCUGAAAGCGGACCUGGGCUAAAGAAGCAUUCA
This is a long non-coding RNA of Drosophila persimilis, 380 nucleotides long. RefSeq lists it as uncharacterized. Lineage: Eukaryota; Metazoa; Arthropoda; Insecta; Diptera; Drosophilidae. The transcript has 3 exons. The record is from RefSeq and is a predicted model, not a curated record.